This is a transfer RNA of Felis catus (domestic cat), 85 nucleotides long. It matches the Rfam family "tRNA". Rfam says of the family: Transfer RNA (tRNA) molecules are approximately 80 nucleotides in length. Their secondary structure includes four short double-helical elements and three loops (D, anti-codon, and T loops). The record is from Rfam. NCBI's taxonomy places the organism in Eukaryota, Metazoa, Chordata, Mammalia, Carnivora, Felidae.
GCCUGGGUGGCUCAGUCGGUUGAGCGUCUGACUUCGGCUCAGGUCAUGAUCUCACGGUCCGUGAGUUCAAGCCCCACGUCGGGCU